GGGGGCGUAGCUCAGUUUGGUUAGAGCGACUGCCUGUCACGCAGUAGGCCGCCGGUUCAAGUCCGGUCGUCCCCG
RNAcentral lists this transfer RNA (75 nucleotides) under Candidatus Moraniibacteriota bacterium. RNAcentral describes it as "tRNA-Asp". It matches the Rfam family "tRNA". From Rfam's summary of the family: Transfer RNA (tRNA) molecules are approximately 80 nucleotides in length. Their secondary structure includes four short double-helical elements and three loops (D, anti-codon, and T loops). The record is from RNAcentral. Lineage: Bacteria; Candidatus Moraniibacteriota.